UAUUAUUUAAUAUUAGGGUAUUUCUUUUUUGGAAAAAGAAGGAGUUAUGGAAG
Molecule: transfer RNA, 53 nt
Filed under: Pratylenchus vulnus (walnut meadow nematode)
Lineage: Eukaryota; Metazoa; Nematoda; Chromadorea; Rhabditida; Pratylenchidae
Description: tRNA-Pro
Source: RNAcentral